AAAGCCUCGAGGAAAAAGAAACGUAAAGGGAAAAAAAUAACCUAAGAGGAAAAAAAACCCCAAAAAACUCUAAGAGAACUAACGACGCUCAAGCGCCGUUUUUCUCCGUAUGCCUCGCAUCUGGACAGCCCUCACCUCAGAGGGUCGACACCUCCCAGUGAGAGGGACUCAACGGCCAUUUCCGGCUCAAACUCUCCCUCGGGCUUAAGAAUAAGCAACGAGACCUUCCUGGGCGGGGCGAGACGCGUCAUGAAUAAUUCAUUACUCCUGCUCGCCUGAUCGGCCCGCCUCGCUCGGUCUCAUGAAUAUGCAAAAGAGGCGAGCGACGGCUAACGCGCCCCCAGCAAGCCCCGCCCUCCACGCCUGGCCUCCUGGCGCCCGUGGGGAGGUGGUUCCCUGCUCACCUGCCGUCAGGCCUCCGGCUCCAAGGCUGUCCUCCGGCGUUUCCCGCCCUUCCGAGGGUUCGCCGGGCGCUCCCGGGCCUGAGGGACCCGCACCGAGCUCGAGGCGCCGCACACGGACCCCGACGGGGCCUUCGGCUCGGGGCUGCUCCGCCUGGGCAACCCUUACGUCGAGGACAGCCUGCUGCCAGCCUCCCUGAGGAGACGCCUGCCCGCCGAGGUGUUUACUAAAGUGAGCAAGGAUCUUCUGCAGCUGUUUGGAGCCUGAGUGGCAGAUGACAGCAACUAACUGGGGACAAGUAUGAGUUACACCCCAAAGGCUGCUGCAGCAGGAUGCCCAGACAGCACGUAGACCACCUCCACACCUGCAGAGCUGAGAGGAUCUCAGGUAAGGGGUCCAUAGAUGCAAAGUAAUGAGGCUUGUGAGAGAAAUACUUAAACUGGAGGUGAGGCCUUGAUGGCAGUUUUGGCUUCAGAAGCAAGGUUGGGGUCAUCAUUCAGCUGCCUCUCCCUCCACCUCCUGAGGGGCCCUAGGUUUUAUUUAUUUAUUUAUUUUUAUUUUAUUUUUGGCUGUGUCGGGUCUUAGUUAUGGCGUGCAAGCUUCUCUCUAGUUGUGGCACAAGGCUCUGUUGUUGUGGCUCAUGGGCCUCUCUAGUUGUGGCUCACAUGCUCAGUAGUCGCGGCACACGGGCUUAGUUGCCCCGCAGCAUGUGGGAUAUUAGUUCCCCGACCAGGGAUUGAACCUACGUCCCCUGCAUUGGAAGGCAGAUUCUUAACCACUGGACCACCAGGGAAGUCCCCUUAGGUUAUAUUUAAGUAGACCGCCUUCCCUACCUAUAACUGUGAGUGCCAAAGCAAUCCAAACGUGCCUCCACUCUAAGCUAUAAAGAAACAAUUAACCACAGUUAAUGGCCCAUAAUCUGUUACUUCUGUAUUCUAUUCCCAAGGUUCCCUCCUAAGUUAUUACCCAUGAAGAAACAUAAAACUGCACAUAAAACUGUAUUUCACAGAACAAAGUGAGCUCUUUUUUGCUUUAUUUCCCUCUGAUUUAAAACAGUGGGUCUUCCUAGAUGGAAAAGAGGUUCAUCCCCACAGAUGGGAAAGGCUACCACUCAGUGUUUUGCACCAUGACAAUGCAGACACAUGGACAGGACCAGCUACAGAAUUUGCAAGGCCCAGUCCAAAAUGAAAAUGAGGCCUCUUGUUAAAUAUAGUAGGAAUUUCAAAACUGCAAUAGAAGUGCAUUAAACCGAGGGCAAGGUCCUUCUGAGUACGGGGCCCUGUGUGACUGCAGAGGCUGUGCACACACCAAAUUUCUAGGUACUAGGAGGAUGCGGGGGUCGGUGGGGGGGAAACUCUACCCCGAGAAGCUCAAGCAUAGGAGCAGCUCCUCCCCUGGCAGAGAGCCUCUGCAGAGGAGGGAGUGUCAGGAGACCUGGACAAAGCAUGGGGUGGCCAGAGGGCCACUGCUGAGGGAGCAGAUGGUGUGGCCAAGGACAGCGUUCUCUUGGUGGUCCUCCCAGUUCUGAUCUGCUUGGGGUUUGGUUAUUAGAGUGCCCACGGAUCAGAAAGGAAUUGGGGUGCUUUAGAAAACUAGAAGGAAGGGGCAACAAGUGAGUGUAGAAAACACUGGGAUUGAGGAGGCAUGAAGAAAGGGAGUUUCUAGAAUGGAAUUAUCCCUGUUUUAUUUUCAUUUAAUCAACCAAUCUUUUUUUUUUUUAAACUGAAGUAGAAUAUCAAAUUUAGAUGAUUUUUCCCCCUAAACCUACUCCUCCCCAUUCUCCAUUUUAGUAAAUGAUCCAACUGGAUGGAUCACUGUCCAUCCAGGUGAUCCAGGCAGAAACCUGGAGUCUGGUUCCUCCUCCUCCUUUGCCUCAACAGUGCUCACUGAAUCCUGUUAGUUCUCUCUUCAGGGUCCUUCUUGGGCCUGCACAUCUACCUCUGUAUCCAAUGAUGCCACCACCACUUCUUGCCAUGACUGACAGCAGCCUCCUCACUGCCUAGCUUUUGAAUCAUGCAGACUAGAGUUCAAGUCCUCAUUCUGCCACAUGUUAGCUGAGUGACCUUGGAUAGGGCUCUUCACCUUUCUGAGCCUCAGUUUAUUCAUCUGUAAAAUGGGAAUAAUAAUACAAAGGGUUGUUGUCUGGACUAAAUGAAAUGACGAAAGUGUCUUAGCACACAGUACAUGCUCAAUGAAUUAGCUUCUUGUCUCUUUCCCUCUUCAUUCCUCAGGCCUUAGUUUAUACAUUACUUCCCUAGGAACCCCUCUGCCGACUUGCUGCAAGUUCCCACAGAUCCCCAGACUGCUCUGCAGCGUUCAUCACACUUACCUGUCUUUUGUCCACAGUCUUCUCCAUGAGCACAGGAUUCUGGCUUUCUCUGCCUACUGAGGUGCCUGACAUGAAGUAGGAAUUCAUAUUUUGUUAUUUGACUGGUAUCCCUGUAUAUAAUCAAAGGUUCCCAGCCAUGGGGUCUCUGUAAUGUCCCCCCACCAACUCUAGGUAAGUGGGCAGAUGACCAUAAACAAACGAUGGAAACCAAGAGCAUCCUACCCAAUAUAAAUUAAACCUAGGGCACUGGGGCAACUCGUCAUAGCAGAUCCCGUUCAUGAGAAGCAGACCUUGGUCAGGUAAGGCCCAUUCAAGGCCAGCCGACCAAGCCAGGAAGCCAGUGCUCCAGAUCAACACAAACUUCCCUGGGAAGGCAGUGAGGCUGGGCUAAGGAAGGGACAGCACUACGGGCAGGAUCACCUGCCCUGGAGAAGGAAUGAAGGUGGCCCCCAUUCAUUGACCCAGGGCCACCUGAGUAGUUGGGCCAACCCUCCUCCUCAGGCCUUGACAGCUCCCCACUAGAUAUCCCCCACUGAGGCCAGUCAGUUGCAUGAGAGGUAUGCACACCAAGGGGCUGACGCCCUGAGAAGCCCAAGGUGGAGGGGCUGGGUUUUUUGUUUUCUGAACUUUGAAAUAACACGUAGAAAAGUACAUUAAAAAUCUGUAGUUUAUACUCCAAUAAAGAUGUUAAAAAAAUUUUUUUAAAAACCUGUAGAGGCUGAUGAGUUAUCAGAUGAGCAUUCAUGAAACCCACUACUCUGAUCAGUACCUAAAGCAUCUCCAGCACUCUGGAAGCCCACUUACCCUCCCCAACCUGCUCGCUCCAACCCCUAGAGAUGACCAAGGCCCUGGCUUUCGUAGUUACCAUACCUUGGCAUCUGAAAUACUACUUUUGCCUGGUUUUGAACUUUUAAAGAAUAGAAUCAUACAGCACAUAAUAUUGUUCUUUUUUCUGUUCAGUAUUAUGUGAGAUUCAUCUGUGUGUUUGUAUGUGUAACUAGUUUAUUCAUUCAUUGCUGUGUUAGAUCUUGUAGAUGAAUGUUUCACAAACUGUUUAUCCCUUGCUCUGUUGAUGGACAUUUAUACUGUUUCUGGCUUGUGUAUUUUAUUGCCUUAGUGUGAGGCUGUCCUGGAUGACUUGCAGAGGCAAGGGGAGUUUGGAGCAGAAGGGAAAGGAGGGGGAGAGGCAGGAGGAGCUCUGGGCAUGGGGGCAGGGCAGGUGAGAGGGACUCUCAGGUCAGAUAGGGCUGUGGAAGUACAGAGUGGGGCUGACGGCACCGUGGAGGAAAGGGUGCCAGAGGGCUCCUUUGAAAGUUUGCUCCUACUCAGAGACUAGAGGAGUGCAGUUCCCCUCUGAGGGCAAGUGUUCUGCGUGCUGAAGGCCAUGGUCAUGUGGUUUAGCAGGCAGGAGUUCAACUCCUCCACCUUCUGGACCUGCUGCCUGAACCCACUUCUCUGCUCCCCAUGGGGUGCAGGGCCGGCUCUGCAUGCCUAGAGAGAAAGCCAGGCAGGGCAGCUGAUAGCAAAAUAUUGCCCUAGGGGGACAGAGGCAACACCACAAACUGGCCAGGGAGUCACCUCUGGUGCCUCUUUCUCAGGAUGGGCAGACAUCAAGAGAUUUGUGUUUGGGAAGUUCUGGGAUCACCACUGCCCAUCCAGACACUGACCAGAAUGGAGGUAAGGCGGCAGAGCCCCGAAAGGAAGGGGCCAGCACGGCUGACUGCUUGCCCAGCCCUCACCUGCCCUGGAAGCAACGCCACCCUGUGGAGCCCACCUCUCGGAGACUCCCAGCAGCCCCGGGCAGAGCUCCCACCCCAGCAAGAGAACCUGUCCCUGGUAACACUCCACCCACUUAAGUGGCUGGAUCUUAAGUAUUUCACCUUGGGGACCAUCUUGGCUGGAGAUGGCCGGGAGUCCCUAUCACCCCUGAAAGACCUGACAUGUUUCCCUCCUCCCUCCAGCUGAGCAGGUACAGGUAAGAAGAGAAGUCCUCUUGCCUUGGAGCAGUACAGCUGCCUGGGAAACAAGAAGGGUUCCUGCUGCUUCCAGCUCUGGACGACGUGUGAAAGCAGGGAAGCAGGUGUGGAAGGAGGGCAGAGACUGAACCUCAGGAACACCAAUACCAACAUAGGCACAGGGAAAGGAUGGUCUGGCGCAGCCUCUAAGGCCAACUGCAGAGGCAGAAGAGCCAGCAGAAAGGAAACCCACUGCUGGAUUAAGGAUCACUUAAGCACAGAAGACAGAAUACUGAAUACCCUUUGGCAACAAAAUACCACCGCAAAAGGAAAAGGCUAGACAAGGAGCAAUGGAAAGACAGAACUAAAACAAACAAAAGACUUCAUCUGGAAUGCAGCGAGUACUUCACAACUCUGUUUCUGAAAAGCAUGAGUCAGCAACAACUGUGGUUACAGAGAAACAUUACCUAAAUCUACUUCUGGAUGUGUACAUUUAUUUAACAUACCUUCUGGAAUUCAGCUUAAAGGCCUGACAUGUAUUUGA
This is a long non-coding RNA of Orcinus orca (killer whale), 5230 nucleotides long. RefSeq lists it as uncharacterized. The record is from RefSeq and is a predicted model, not a curated record. The transcript is spliced from 4 exons. NCBI's taxonomy places the organism in Eukaryota, Metazoa, Chordata, Mammalia, Artiodactyla, Delphinidae.